UUCGCUUUUCUCUGGUGGCCGAUCGUGGUCGACGGCUCGUGGAGCUUGCUCUCCUUCGUCGACGGCUCAGCUUCACCCGUCGUCGAAUCGAAGACUGAAGAGUCGCUCCCCAUCAUUAUUUAUACUAAUCGGCGGCUUUGGGGCACUGGGUUGAGGAGAAAAAGCACAUUCGGGAUUAAAGAACAUCAAUUAAUUUCUACGCAUUUUGGUAAGUAUGUAUUUGAGCAAAUUUCCGGUGGAGGGAAUUUAAAAACCAUGCAUUUGAUUAAAUAGCAUGUAUUUGAAAUGUAAGGGAUUGAUAGUAGAGAUUUUGUUGAAAUUCCUUGUUUGGUAUCUAUGUUAAAUUGGGAUUUGAGAAGUUAAGGUCGGAUUUGAGAAGCGUAUAUUGGGGUGGGAUUUGAAAUCUUACCUAUAUUGGUGGUAAGAUUUGAGAAUCCUCACAAGCAUGUAUUUGAAAGUUUAAAUUACAUGUAUUUGAUCUAUUACUUUUACAUACCAAACAAGGGAUUUAAUCAAAUACGUGGAUUUUGAAAUACAUAGUUUAAAACCAUCCCAUACCAAAGCUUCCUUGA
Molecule: long non-coding RNA, 572 nt
Filed under: Linum usitatissimum (flax)
Lineage: Eukaryota; Viridiplantae; Streptophyta; Magnoliopsida; Malpighiales; Linaceae
Description: long non-coding RNA (LUSI_LNC007173)
Source: RNAcentral